AUACGGAGGAUCCGAGCGUUAUCCGGAUUUAUUGGGUUUAAAGGGAGCGUAGGUGGAUUGUUAAGUCAGUUGUGAAAGUUUGCGGCUCAACCGUAAAAUUGCAGUUGAAACUGGCAGUCUUGAGUACAGUAGAGGUGGGCGGAAUUCGUGGUGUAGCGGGGAAAUGCUUAGAUAUCACGAAGAACUCCGAUUGCGAAGGCAGCUCACUAGACUGUUACUGACACUGAUGCUCGAAAGUGUGGGUAUCAAACAGGAUUAGAUACCCUGGUAGUCCACACAGUAAACGAUGAAUACUCGCUGUUUGCGAUAUACAGUAAGCGGCCAAGCGAAAGCAUUAAGUAUUCCACCUGGGGAGUACGCCGGCAACGGUGAAACUCAAAUGAAUUGACGGGG
Molecule: ribosomal RNA, 393 nt
Filed under: uncultured bacterium
Lineage: Bacteria
Description: partial 16S ribosomal RNA
Rfam family: Bacterial small subunit ribosomal RNA
Source: RNAcentral